Molecule: ribosomal RNA, 253 nt
Filed under: uncultured bacterium
Lineage: Bacteria
Description: partial 16S ribosomal RNA
Rfam family: Bacterial small subunit ribosomal RNA
Source: RNAcentral
UACGAAGGGGGCUAGCGUUGCUCGGAAUCACUGGGCGUAAAGGGCGCGUAGGCGGCCAUUCAAGUCAGGGGUGAAAGCCUGUGGCUCAACCACAGAAUUGCCUUUGAUACUGUUUGGCUAGAGACCGGAAGAGGUAAGUGGAACUGCGAGUGUAGAGGUGAAAUUCGUAGAUAUUCGCAAGAACACCAGUGGCGAAGGCGGCUUACUGGUCCGGUUCUGACGCUGAGGAGCGAAAGCAUGGGGAGCGAACAGG